CCUGGUUGAUCCUGCCAGUAGUCAUAUGCUUGUCUAAAAGAUUAAGCCAUGCAUGUAUAAGCUAAAGCUGAUAAAUAGUGAAGCCGCGGACAGCUCAUUAAUACACUCAUAAUCUUCGCAAUGCAUCCAAUAUGGAUAUCUGUGCUAAUUUUAGAGCUAAUACACGCAAUCAAGCCCCUUAAUUGGGGAGCAUUUAUUAGAACAAAACCGAUCGGGGUCUCCCCGCUGUUGGUGAAUCUGAAUAACUGUGCAGAUCGCAGGUCUUUGUACCGGCGACACAUUGCAAGAGUGAGUGCCUUAUCAACUGUCGAUGGUAGUAUAUAUGCCUACCAUGGUUAUUACGGGUAACGGAGAAUUAGGGUUUGACUCCGGAGAGGCAGCCUGAGAGACGGCUACCAGUUCUAAGGAACGCAGCAGGCGCGCAAAUUACACAAUGACAGUAAACUGUUGAUGUAGUGACAAGAGGUAACGGGGCGGUCCUCUAUGAGGCCCGUCAUUGUAUUGAGUAAAACUCAAAAUAUUUAACGAAACCAAUUGGAGGGCAAGUCUGGUGCCAGCAGCCGCGGUAAUUCCAGCUCCAAAAGCAUAUAUUAAAGUUGUUGCGGUUAAAAAGCUCGUAGUUGGAUCCAUGACCUCGGAGGGCGGUCCCCCACUGGGUGCGUACUGCUGCUCCGAGUCCCAUCUGUCAGUUUGUCUGUGUUGCCUUUAAUCGGGUGGCACAGGUGACUGACGUGUUUACUUUGAAAAAAUUAGAGUGUUUAAAGCAGGCGUUGAAUGCCUGAAUAGUGGUGCAUGGAAUAAUGGAAUAGGAUCUCGGUUCUAUUUUGUUGGUUCAAGAGCAUGAGAAAAUGAUUAAGAGGGACAGACGGGGGCAUUUGUAUUGCUGCGUUAGAGGUGAAAUUCUUGGAUCGUAGCAAGACAAACUACUGCGAAGGCAUUUGCCAAGAAUGUUUUCAUUAAUCAAGAACGAAAGUUAGAGGUUCGAAGGCGAUCAGAUACCGCCCUAGUUCUAACCGUAAACCAUGUCGACUAGCUAUCUGUCAGCGUUAAUAAUGACCUGACAGGCAGCUUACCGGAAACGAAAGUUUCUCGAUUCCGGGGGUAGUAUGGUUGCAAAGCUGAAACUUAAAGGAAUUGACGGAAGGGCACCACCAGGAGUGGAGCCUGCGGCUUAAUUUGACCCAACACGGGAAAACUCACCCGGCCCGGACACCGUAAGGAUUGACAGAUUAAUAGCUCUUUCUCGAUUUGGUGAUUGGUGGUGCAUGGCCGUUCUUAGUUGGUGGAGCGAUUUGUCUGGUUAAUUCCGAUAACGAACGAGAUUCUAACUUACUAACUAGUUCCACGAUCCC
This 1352-nucleotide ribosomal RNA is filed under the name metagenome. RNAcentral describes it as "SSU rRNA". It matches the Rfam family "Eukaryotic small subunit ribosomal RNA", at positions 3 to 1370 of the family's 1831-position model. The record is from RNAcentral.